Molecule: long non-coding RNA, 248 nt
Filed under: Monodelphis domestica (gray short-tailed opossum)
Lineage: Eukaryota; Metazoa; Chordata; Mammalia; Didelphimorphia; Didelphidae
Description: lncRNA (ENSMODG00000039372.1)
Source: RNAcentral
AGAAUGAGGACAGAUCCAAGGUUUGUUGAUGACCAUAUUGGGGGAGGAAUUCUUUCUUAGCUGAGUUUCAUCCUAGAGUACAUCUGUAGCUGUGAGACUGGCCUUGCCAAGAAUUUCAAACUUACAGGAAGGGGUAAUAUCUCUGGUAUGGAGGGCUUGUCGUGCCCUUUUAGGGCAGCUCUCCAGCCACUGACCCUCACCUGACACCCAGCUCUCACUUGUGGCUCCUAGUAGCUGCUAGCAUGCGG